Molecule: ribosomal RNA, 460 nt
Filed under: uncultured bacterium
Lineage: Bacteria
Description: partial 16S ribosomal RNA
Rfam family: Bacterial small subunit ribosomal RNA
Source: RNAcentral
CCUACGGGUGGCAGCAGUGAGGAAUAUUGGUCAAUGGACGCAAGUCUGAACCAGCCAUGCCGCGUGCAGGAAGACGGCUCUAUGAGUUGUAAACUUCUUUUGUACGGGGGUAAACGCAGAUACGCGUAUCUGUCUGAAAGUAUCGUACGAAUAAGGAUCGGCUAACUCCGUGCCAGCAGCCGCGGUAAUACGGAGGAUUCAAGCGUUAUCCGGAUUUAUUGGGUUUAAAGGGUGCGUAGGCGGUCGGAUAAGUUAGAGGUGAAAUCCCGAGGCUCAACUUCGGAAUUGCCUCUGAUACUGUGCGGCUUGAGUGGAGGUGAGGUAGGCGGAAUGUAUGGUGUAGCGGUGAAAUGCUUAGAGAUCAUACAGAACACCGAUUGCGAAGGCAGCUUACCGGGCUACUACUGACGUUGAGGCACGAAAGCGUGGGGAGCGAACAGGAGUAGAUACCCUAGUAGUC